RNAcentral lists this ribosomal RNA (208 nucleotides) under Theileria equi. RNAcentral describes it as "partial small subunit ribosomal RNA". It matches the Rfam family "Eukaryotic small subunit ribosomal RNA", at positions 536 to 775 of the family's 1831-position model. The record is from RNAcentral. Lineage: Eukaryota; Apicomplexa; Aconoidasida; Piroplasmida; Theileriidae.
CCAGAGUAUCAAUUGGAGGGCAAGUCUGGUGCCAGCAGCCGCGGUAAUUCCAGCUCCAAUAGCGUAUAUUAAACUUGUUGCAGUUAAAAAGCUCGUAGUUGAAUUUCUGCUGCAUCGUGGUUCUUCGCUAUGUCGAGUGAUCUUCGUUGUGGCUUAGUUGGGGCAUGUUUUCAUGACCCGACGUUUACUUUGAGAAAAUUAGAGUGCU